Molecule: ribosomal RNA, 444 nt
Filed under: uncultured bacterium
Lineage: Bacteria
Description: bacterial SSU rRNA
Rfam family: Bacterial small subunit ribosomal RNA
Source: RNAcentral
CCAGACUCCUACGGGAGGCAGCAGUGGGGGAUAUUGCACAAUGGGGGAAACCCUGAUGCAGCGACGCCGCGUGAGUGAAGAAGUAUUUCGGUAUGUAAAGCUCUAUCAGCAGGGAAGAAAAUGACAGUACCUGACCAAGAAGCCCCGGCUAACUACGUGCCAGCAGCCGCGGUAAUACGUAGGGGGCAAGCGUUAUCCGGAUUUACUGGGUGUAAAGGGAGCGUAGACGGUUAUGUAAGUCUGGAGUGAAAGCCCGGGGCCCAACCCCGGGACUGCUUUGGAAACUGUGUAACUGGAGUACAGGAGGGGCAGGCGGAAUUCCUGGUGUAGCGGUGAAAUGCGUAGAUAUUAGGAGGAACACCAGUGGCGAAGGCGGCUUACUGGACAGUGACUGACACUGAGGCUCGAAAGCGUGGGGAGCAAACAGGAUUAGAUACCCGAGUA